ACGGGUGUAGCUCAAGUGGCAGAGCACAUGCUUCGCAUGCAUGAGGUCCUGGGUUCAAUCCCCAGCACCUCUU
Molecule: transfer RNA, 73 nt
Organism: Camelus ferus (Wild Bactrian camel)
Lineage: Eukaryota; Metazoa; Chordata; Mammalia; Artiodactyla; Camelidae
Rfam family: tRNA
About the family: Transfer RNA (tRNA) molecules are approximately 80 nucleotides in length.
Source: Rfam